GUGUUUGUUUCGGCAGCAUAUAUACUAAAAUUGGAACGAUACAGAGAAGAUUAUUGUUGCCCCUGCACAAGGAUGACAUGUAAAUUCAUGAAACAUUUGUUAUGAAU
Small nuclear RNA from Gracilinanus agilis (Agile Gracile Mouse Opossum), 107 nucleotides. NCBI's taxonomy places the organism in Eukaryota, Metazoa, Chordata, Mammalia, Didelphimorphia, Didelphidae. The record is from RefSeq and is a predicted model, not a curated record.